Molecule: long non-coding RNA, 2348 nt
Organism: Onychomys torridus (southern grasshopper mouse)
Lineage: Eukaryota; Metazoa; Chordata; Mammalia; Rodentia; Cricetidae
Exons: 3
Source: RefSeq, a predicted model, not a curated record
UCUGUUCCAAAGUUGAGAGGCCAAGAAGUUGCCUUCUUGUAGGCAGAGUCAUGAAUGAAUUGAAGACACAGCAGGCUAGAAGAUGGAACUUGGAAGAGAGCUAACCAAUAGAAAUGGUCCUCAAAGAGAUGGUCAGAAUCCCUUGUUCCCAAACAAAGGGAAGACAGUUUUUGGCUGGAUGAAGUUUUACUGGAUCAGAUGAUCAAGAGAGAAGAUUGAUAAAGAGUGACAUGAAGGAAUGGAUGAAGAAGAGGGAAAGAAUUAAUCAACACAAAUAAUGAAAGGUAGAUAAUAACGAAGAGAUAACACUGAGUUCUCAGACAAGAAGCAGGGCAUCACAGACAGGCAACCUGUGAUUUAUGAUAAGCUAUGACCUCAUUUGUUAUCUUAGUUUUUAAGAAAUCUUUCUUUUAACUUCAUCAUUUCCUCCCUUCAGCUCAGUGACUCUGUGAAAUGCAAGGUGACCUCAGUGUUGGAAGAAAGAACAUUUUAUCAAGGGAAGAUGCUAUUCUCAAGGCACAGUGCUUAUGGCCAAGUUCUCUCUAGCCUGGAAUCUGUCUGCAGCAACUGUAAAGUAAAGUAGAUGUCACUUUCUACCUGACAGUUCCUGCUCCCCGGGGCCAUUGUCUGUUGCAGAACUGCAGUAGGGAUCCACUGCGGAGGAGGAGGAAGUGUUUAGUUACUGGGUCUGAAGCCACUGUCACUACUCACAGCCUCUUGCUGGUGUGUCCACUUCCUUCCCAGCUGCCUUUCUGUAUCUUACCUCUUCACCGUGCAAUGUUUGCCAGAACCCAGAAUGGUAAAGCAUCUCACAUGCCUACUUGAGCAGCCUUCAUAAAUAAUGACCAUGGUGAUGGAAAUCCCAGCUAUGAAAGUGACUUUUAGGGAGUAGCUGCUUAGUUCUAUUUCUGAGCAAUUUUUAAAAUGGUAUUUGUUCAUCACAUUUUAGCAUACCAUUAUCCAAAGCAGCAUCAUUUAAAUUGUGUAACUGAAGCCCUAUUGAAAGGCUCAUACACUACAAAAUCCACAAAGGAUGAAACAAGCACUCAGACUACUCAGACCUUGAGGCGUGAGAGCACUGGGAAAAUAUUAUCCUAAGAAGACACAUCGGCUUUGCACAGUACCUUCACUUGGAAACCUGUAGUCACCUGACACUAUGUUGUUGAAGCUAGUCAAGGAAAUGGAAACAGUACCUUCAAAAGCCCUCUCAGAGUCUUUCAUGAAAAUUCUUCUAGUCUCAGGGAAAAACUGAUUCUACCUUUACCAGGAAAGGUUAUCUGGGAUUCUGACGAAGCUAACUCUCACCUGACAUUGUCAAGAGCACACUCCUGCUAUGAUUUAUACCCAGCAUUUGUCAAUAGGUGAGAUUUCUCAGGACUUCUUCUGAUUUUGGCUUUACAUGUGUGCUUUUACAAUGGCAGAUGUUCUAUGAAAUGGUGGGUCUCUUUUCUAGCUUUCUUUAUGAUACAACCCUUUUCUUGUUGGGAGGGAGACAGAAGACAUUCAACAGAAGACAGCAAAGAUUUUCAGUUGCCCUGGGAAGUGACAGAGCAUCUCCCACACCAGUGUUUCACUCUAAGUAGCAACACUUCAUGAUUUUCCAGAUUCCGAAUCCACAGGCACCACCUGCAGGUGUUUACAGGACCCCAUGAGUCACACCCCGGGAGAGCCCAGUGGAUGAUGCCCACCUGUGUUCUCUUCUGAUGCCUGCCUCUAUCGUAGGGCAUAAAGACUCCGAGUUAAAAAUAAAAGAAAGAAAGCAAAACAAAUGGAUACAUGAAUUCCAGCAUCCAGCCAGAAGUCCAGAGGCCACAGUGAACAGAGAAGGGCACAGAGCUACAUGCCUCGCCUCGUGUGUGGAUUAGAUGGGGAUUCUGUCCCUCGGGGAUCUGAUAUCUUCCACUGUGUCAUGCUUAAUGAUGUUAUUGUAUUCAAUAUCCAAGUUUUCUUUCAACUUGUUGAGCUCGAACUCAUGAAUAAUUUUGACAGUCAUUAACUUUUCUCGUUUGAUUUUCUCUAGGACAUCUUUUGGAACAUCCGGUAUCAUCCAGGCCAAUAAAAAUUUUAACAGAAACACGACGUGCUAGGAGUGAUAAAAGAAGAUCAUAGAUACUGUUAGGAUUAUCAAGAAUUUAGAAAGGAGUCCUUAAUGGUCCCCCUGAGAAUCUGAUAAACUCUAUUGGACACAGGAAGCACAAAGUUGAAUCAUAUAUACACAUACAGGUGUAUGUGUGCAUGUGUGUAUCCUGUAGUUUCCACACACACAAUGGAAUUAAAUAACUAUAUUUAAAUAAGCAACUAGAGAAAUGGGACAUGGGUAUAAAAAAGCUUGCUCUUUAUUGGAACCC